This 440-nucleotide ribosomal RNA is filed under the name uncultured bacterium. RNAcentral's name for it is "partial 16S ribosomal RNA". It matches the Rfam family "Bacterial small subunit ribosomal RNA", at positions 338 to 795 of the family's 1533-position model. The record is from RNAcentral.
CCCACGGGAGGCAGCAGUGGGGAAUAUUGCACAAUGGGGGAAACCCUGAUGCAGCGACGCCGCGUGAGUGAAGAAGUAAUUCGUUAUGUAAAGCUCUAUCAGCAGGGAAGAAAAUGACGGUACCUGAGUAAGAAGCCCCGGCUAACUACGUGCCAGCAGCCGCGGUAAUACGUAGGGGGCAAGCGUUAUCCGGAUUUACUGGAUGUAAAGGGAGCGUAGACGGCGGUGCAAGUCUGGAGUGAAAGGCGGGGGCUCAACCCCCGGACUGCUCUGGAAACUGUACGGCUGGAGUGCAGGAGAGGGAAGUGGAAUUCCUAGUGUAGCGGUGAAAGGCGUAGAUAUUAGGAGGAACACCAGUGGCGAAGGCGGCUUACUGGACUGUAACUGACGUUGAGGCUCGAAAGCGUGGGGAGCAAACAGGAUUAGAUACCCGGGUAGUC